Molecule: ribosomal RNA, 253 nt
Filed under: uncultured bacterium
Lineage: Bacteria
Description: partial 16S ribosomal RNA
Rfam family: Bacterial small subunit ribosomal RNA
Source: RNAcentral
UACGUAGGGGGCAAGCGUUGUUCGGAAUUACUGGGCGUAAAGGGCGCGUAGGCGGGAUGGCAAGUCGGUCGUGAAAUCCUUCGGCUCAACCGAAGAACGUCGAUCGAUACUGCUGUUCUUGAGGGUUGCAGAGGAGACUGGAAUUCCCGGUGUAGCGGUGAAAUGUGUAGAGAUCGGGAGGAACACCGGUGGCGAAGGCGGGUCUCUGGGCAAUUCCUGACGCUGAGGCGCGAAAGCGUGGGGAGCAAACGGG